UACGUAGGGGGCAAGCGUUGUCCGGAAUUAUUGGGCGUAAAGCGCGCGCAGGUGGCUUCUUAAGUCUGAUGUGAAAGCCCACGGCUCAACCGUGGAGGGUCAUUGGAAACUGGGAAGCUUGAGUGCAGAAGAGGAGAGUGGAAUUCCACGUGUAGCGGUGAAAUGCGUAGAGAUGUGGAGGAACACCAGUGGCGAAAGCGGCUCUCUGGUCUGUAACUGACGCUGAGGCGCGAAAGCGUGGGGAG
This 245-nucleotide ribosomal RNA is filed under the name uncultured bacterium. RNAcentral describes it as "partial 16S ribosomal RNA". It matches the Rfam family "Bacterial small subunit ribosomal RNA", at positions 524 to 768 of the family's 1533-position model. The record is from RNAcentral.